CCUACGGGAGGCAGCAGUGAGGAAUUUUCCGCAAUGGGCGAAAGCCUGACGGAGCAAUACCGCGUGAGGGAUGAAGGAUUUUGGUCUGUAAACCUCUUUUCUCAAGAAAGAAGUUCUGACGGUACUUGAGGAAUAAGCAUCGGCUAACUCCGUGCCAGCAGCCGCGGUAAUACGGGGGAUGCAAGCGUUAUCCGGAAUGAUUGGGCGUAAAGCGCCUGUAGGUUGUUUAUUAAGUCCGUUGUUAAAGCCUAGGGCUCAACCCUAGAAAAGCAAUGGAAACUAGUAGACUAGAGUAUGGCAGGGGUAGAGGGAAUUUCUAGUGUAGCGGUGAAAUGCGUAGAUAUUAGAAAGAACACCGGUGGCGAAAGCGCUCUACUGGACCAUUACUGACACUCAGAGGCGAAAGCUAGGGUAGCAAAAGGGAUUAGAUACCCCUGUAGUCCUAGCCGUAAACGAUGGAUACUAGAUGUUGUGCAUUAUGUACAGUAUCGUAGCUAACGCGUUAAGUAUCCCGCCUGGGGAGUACGCUCGCAAGGGUGAAACUCAAAGGAAUUGAGGCUGAGCNGCGACGCGACGACGAGGAGAG
This 586-nucleotide ribosomal RNA is filed under the name uncultured bacterium. RNAcentral's name for it is "bacterial SSU rRNA". It matches the Rfam family "Bacterial small subunit ribosomal RNA", at positions 338 to 944 of the family's 1533-position model. The record is from RNAcentral.